GCAACAACGGGCUGUGUGCUGUAUAGCAUCCUUCAUUGGCUGGGUAGCUGUGUGGUUGUACAUGUGGUUGCCUUCGUUUGCCUAUGAUUCAGUUUCACUGGAAAUCUUCCUCCGGCACUUUUGUGUUCAUUAUGAAGGUCUUGUUUCGGAGAAGGUUCCAGGCACCGUAUGAUAAUGAAUUCUAAUAAUAACUAUUCUAAUAAGGAAAAUGUGUUGUCUCAUCUUGAUACCUCAUUCAGAGAUUGUGCAGCUGUGGUUCAGGAUCCCCUAAAGUUUUGCAAGGAAGCGGCCAAAGACGGAGUAUGAUACUGUGGGACUGCUAUGGAGGUUGGUGUCUUCAGAGGUCCAUCUAAGCAAAGGGAUUUUGGGGAACUGUACAUAAUGGAGCUCUGAACCACAGAGGGGAACCAACACUCAGCCUCACGCACUCCCGAAGGCCGCUGGCGGGGGAAUCGGAGCGGGAAGUCCCCUCUUAUCGGCGCCAGCUACCUCACAGCCUGAAUAAUAUAUCCACAUUUCCAGUAAUCACGCUUGGCUAAGGCCUGGCCAACAGCCCAGAGUCCAGUAAUGACAUUCAGCAAGGGCUAUACUUUAUUACAUAACGAGGCAUGUGUGUAGUCCCCUUUCCGUACUGCAAGAUUAAUGACAGAACACUAUUGUCAAAGUUAGGAAAACAACCACGUCCCGGAUCUCUCAACACUCCGCUUUUCUGUACCUAUGAGUUCUACAUGCCUUUGCUUUCUUCGUGUAUGAUGAUGUCAUUUAACGGAAUGUGUAUGGUGAGUGACCACCAAUGUACAAUCCAUCAGCUGUAAUGUAUUAUUCACUGCAGUGGAAAAGUGUAAUUUCUAUGGACUGUGCAUGCCAUAGUGUAAGGACCUGAUAGUAACACCCAACCCUUACCACCUCUGACCCAAACCGAAGGCGAACCCGAAGUUAAUCUUAUCUUACCGUAACCGGCCCAACUUGGCUCAAUCAGUUGCAGAGUGGACACAAUUGUACAAUACCCAAUAAUUUUUGCUUAGCUAUGUACCUUAUAUUCUUUCACAACUACAUAAUAUUAGACCAUUAAUAGGCCACAUUAAUUGGAAGACUGAAGAUCAAUGUAUCCAGUAGCCAUAAUUUACCGUUCCUUUUCUAAUGUAGCACAGAUAGUGAGCCCUUCUGGAAAAAGCUAAAUAAAAUUUGCCUUUUACCAUGUGAAAAUCACAAUUUCACAUGUGAAUUUAACAUUUUCAAAUAUGAAUUAAAAUAUUCACUUGGGAAAAAGUUGAACUUGACAUUUUCAUACAUACAUCAUUUUCAUUUUUCACAUUUUAACAACACAAUAUGAACAACAAUUUUGUGAAAACGAAACGAAAAUGUGACUUGAAAAAGCAUCAGUGGGAUUAUUUUUAUAGUUCACAUGUGGCCUCUUCACAUGUUGGAUGUUCUCACGUGGUUUUUGGAUGUUCGAAGAUGUGAUUUUUUUGUAAGGGAAUCUUCCAGUGUAUGAAUGACACAAAAUUGAGAAACUAUAUGCACAUUAGUUUAACUUGAUUGAAUGCCUUAAUACAGUCAUUCCAGUUCCAGAAAUAAAUGACAUUUACAUCCUCUUCUGGGUUAAAAUACACUUACUGUAGCAAAGUGUCUCCUCAUGCAGCUAAUUUUCUCAGCAGGGUAACACAGUCUGAGUGUUCUAAUUUGCAGGUAGGUGUAUCCUGAAUGAAUUAACUUAUGCUUUACUGAAUCUGAAAAAAGCCAUAUUAUAAUCGGCCCAGCCUGCCCCAAAACCUGUUUCUCUGUCAUGAAAUAAAAGUCAAC
This is a long non-coding RNA of Anguilla anguilla (European eel), 1803 nucleotides long. RefSeq lists it as uncharacterized. Lineage: Eukaryota; Metazoa; Chordata; Actinopteri; Anguilliformes; Anguillidae. The transcript is spliced from 4 exons. The record is from RefSeq and is a predicted model, not a curated record.